ACUCAAAUGAAUAGACGGGGGCCCGCACAAGCGGUGGAUUAUGUGGUUUAAUUCGAAGCAACGCGAAGAACCUUACCUAGGUUUGAAAUCCUGAGAAUCCUCCCGAAAAGGAGGAGUGCCCUUCGGGGAAUUCAGAGACAGGUGCUGCAUGGCUGUCGUCAGCUCGUGUCGUGAGAUGUUGGGUUAAGUCUCGCAACGAGCGCAACCCCUAUCCUUAGUUGCCAGCAUUAAGUUGGGCACUUUAAGGAGACUGCCUGGGUUAACCAGGAGGAAGGUGGGGAUGACGUCAAGUCCUCAUGGCCUUUAUACCUAGGGCCACACACGUAAUACAAUGGUCGGUACAAAGGGAUGCGAACUCGCGAGGGGGAGCCAAUCUCAAAAAACCGAUCUCAGUCCGGAUUGGAGUCUGCAACUCGACUCCAUGAAGUUGGAAUCGCUAGUAAUCGCGGAUCAGCACGCCGCGGUGAAUACGUUCCCGGGCCUUGUACACACCGCCCGU
RNAcentral lists this ribosomal RNA (499 nucleotides) under uncultured bacterium. Its description in RNAcentral is "partial 16S ribosomal RNA". It matches the Rfam family "Bacterial small subunit ribosomal RNA", at positions 899 to 1397 of the family's 1533-position model. The record is from RNAcentral.